This is a long non-coding RNA of Oncorhynchus mykiss (rainbow trout), 3336 nucleotides long. NCBI's taxonomy places the organism in Eukaryota, Metazoa, Chordata, Actinopteri, Salmoniformes, Salmonidae. The record is from Ensembl.
AUGUUCAACGAGCAGGUGCCAUCAUACUUUUGUACAUCUCUGUAUGUACAGCAGCACGUAUAUCACACGUGUCAGACUCCCACUCCAUGUUCAUCAACACGUGUCAGACUCCCACUCCAUGUUCAUCAACACGUGUCAGACUCCCACUCCAUGUUCAUCAACACGUGUCAGACUCCCACUCCAUGUUCAUCAACACGUGUCAGACUCCCACUCCAUGUUCAUCACACGUGUCAGACUCCCACUCCAUGUUCAUCACACGUGUCAGACUCCCACUCCAUGUUCAUCAACACGUGUCAGACUCCCACUCCAUGUUCAUCAACACGUGUCAGACUCCCACUCCAUGUUCAUCAACACGUGUCAGACUCCCACUCCAUGUUCAUCAACACGUGUCAGACUCCCACUCCAUGUUCAUCACACGUGUCAGACUCCCACUCCAUGUUCAUCAACACGUGUCAGACUCCCACUCCAUGUUCAUCAACACGUGUCAGACUCCCACUCCAUGUUCAUCAACACGUGUCAGACUCCCACUCCAUGUUCAUCAACACGUGUCAGACUCCCACUCCAUGUUCAUCAACACGUGUCAGACUCCCACUCCAUGUUCAUCAACACGUGUCAGACUCCCACUCCAUGUUCAUCAACACGUGUCAGACUCCCACUCCAUGUUCAUCAACACGUGUCAGACUCCCACUCCAUGUUCAUCACACGUGUCAGACUCCCACUCCAUGUUCAUCACACGUGUCAGACUCCCACUCCAUGUUCAUCACACGUGUCAGACUCCCACUCCAUGUUCAUCACACGUGUCAGACUCCCACUCCAUGUUCAUCACACGUGUCAGACUCCCACUCCAUGUUCAUCACACGUGUCAGACUCCCACUCCAUGUUCAUCACACGUGUCAGACUCCCACUCCAUGUUCAUCACACGUGUCAGACUCCCACUCCAUGUUCAUCACACGUGUCAGACUCCCACUCCAUGUUCAUCACACGUGUCAGACUCCCACUCCAUGUUCAUCACACGUGUCAGACUCCCACUCCAUGUUCAUCACACGUGUCAGACUCCCACUCCAUGUUCAUCAACACGUGUCAGACUCCCACUCAGACUCCCACCAUCUCUCUCUCCCUCUCUCUUUGUCUCUCUAUCUCUUCCCAUCUCUCUCUCUCUUCCCAUCUCUCUCUCUCUCUCUCUUCCCAUCUCUCUCUCUCUAUCUCUUCCCAUCUCUCUCUCUCUUCCCAUCUCUCUCUCUCUCUCUCUUCCCAUCUCUCUCUCUCUCUCUCUUCCCAUCUCUCUCUCUCUAUCUCUUCCCAUCUCUCUCUCUCUUCCCACCUCUCUCUCUCUCUCUUCCCAUCUCUCUCUCUCUUUCUUCCCAUCUCUCUCUCUUUCUUCCCAUCUCUCUCUCUCUCUCUCUCUUCCCAUCUCUCUCUCUCUCUCUUCCCAUCUCUCUCUCUCUUCCCAUCUCUCUCUCUCUUUCUUCCCAUCUCUCUCUCUUUCUUCCCAUCUCUCUCUCUCUCUCUCUUCCCAUCUCUCUCUCUCUCUUUCUUCCCAUCUCUCUCUCUCUCUUCCCAUCUCUCUCUCUCUCUCUUCCCAUCUCUCUCUCUCUUCCCAUCUCUCUCUCUCUUUCUUCCCAUCUCUCUCUCUUUCUUCCCAUCUCUCUCUCUCUCUCUCUUCCCAUCUCUCUCUCUCUCUUUCUUCCCAUCUCUCUCUCUCUCUUUCUUCCCACCUCUCUCUCUCUCUUCCCAUCUCUCUCUCUCUCUCUUCCCAUCUCUCUCUCUCUCUCUCUUCCCAUCUCUCUCUCUCUUCCCACCUCUCUCUCUCUCUCUCUUCCCAUCUCUCUCUCUCUCUUCCCAUCUCUCUCUCUUUCUUCCCAUCUCUCUCUCUCUCUCUCUCUCUCUCUCUCUUCCCAUCUCUCUCUCUCUUCCCACCUCUCUCUCUCUCUUCCCAUCUCUCUCUCUCUCUUCCCAUCUCUCUCUCUUUCUUCCCAUCUCUCUCUCUCUCUCUCUCUCUCUCUCUCUCUCUCUUCCCAUCUCUCUCUCUCUCUCUUCCCACCUCUCUCUCUUUCUUCCCAUCUCUCUCUCUCUCUCUUCCCAUCUCUCUCUCUCUCUUUCUUCCCAUCUCUCUCUCUCUCUCUCUCUCUCUCUCUCUCUCUCUCUCUCUUCCCAUCUCUCUCUCUCUCUCUUCCCACCUCUCUCUCUUUCUUCCCAUCUCUCUCUCUCUCUCUCUUCCCAUCUCUCUCUCUCUCUCUUCCCAUCUCUCUCUCUAUCUCUCUCUCUCUCUCUCUUCCCAUCUCUCUCUCUCUAUCUCUCUCUCUCUCUUCCCAUCUCUCUCUCUCUCUCUCUUCCCAUCUCUCUCUCUCUCUUUCUUCCCAUCUCUCUCUCUCUCUCUCUCUCUCUCUUCCCAUCUCUCUCUCUCUCUCUUCCCACCUCUCUCUCUUUCUUCCCAUCUCUCUCUCUCUCUCUUCCCAUCUCUCUCUCUCUCUUUCUUCCCAUCUCUCUCUCUCUCUCUCUCUCUCUCUCUUCCCAUCUCUCUCUCUCUCUCUUCCCACCUCUCUCUCUUUCUUCCCAUCUCUCUCUCUCUCUCUCUUCCCAUCUCUCUCUCUCUCUCUUCCCAUCUCUCUCUCUCUCUCUCUCUCUCUCUCUCUCUCUCUCUCUCUUCCCACCUCUCUCUCUUUCUUCCCACCUCUCUCUCUCUCUCUUCCCAUCUCUCUCUCUCUUCCCACCUCUCUCUCUCUCUCUCUUCCCAUCUCUCUCUCUCUCUUCCCAUCUCUCUCUCUUUCUUCCCAUCUCUCUCUCUCUCUCUCUCUCUCUUCCCAUCUCUCUCUCUCUCUCUUCCCACCUCUCUCUCUUUCUUCCCAUCUCUCUCUCUCUCUCUCUCUCUUCCCAUCUCUCUCUCUCUCUUUCUUCCCAUCUCUCUCUCUCUCUCUCUCUCUCUCUCUCUCUUCCCAUCUCUCUCUCUCUCUCUUCCCACCUCUCUCUCUUUCUUCCCAUCUCUCUCUCUCUCUCUCUUCCCAUCUGUCUCUCUCUCUCUUCCCAUCUCUCUCUCUCUCUCUCUCUCUCUUCCCACCUCUCUCUCUUUCUUCCCACCUCUCUCUCUCUCUCUUCCCACCUCUCUCUCUUUCUUCCCACCUCUCUCUCUCUCUCUUCCCAUCUCUCUCUCUUUCUUCCCACCUCUCUCUCUCUCUCUCUUCCCACCUCUCUCUCUCCCUCUAUCUAUUAUCUUUCUUCCUCAAACACAUGCGCGCUGCAGCGUCCUGUACAGGAAGUUAUUGGUUGUGUAUGAGAUUAGUCAAGGUCACCUUUCCCCGGGAGAACAUGAACAUUCUCUCUAUUUCUUUAUCUCUCUAA